AGAAUGUUGUGGGUUCUGAAUUUGCUCGUGUAAGCCAAGCGCAAACACUACUAUCAGUAACACUGUCAAAGCUGUACAAAAAAAGUCUGCAAACACCAGCCAUGAACGAUUUGUUUACAAUACCGCGUUCGUUAACCGGGCAUGUUCACUAGAUAACGUUAAAUUGCCGCUUAUUGUGACUCGCUUGUGGGCGUGCUGGCAGCAUUUUGACCGUGCGUCAAAAAUUCAGCAUAGCAAGUUUGUAUGAGGGUCUGAUUAUUAAAUGAGUAAUUCGAUCAAUAGUAAUAUCCUCUAAAACGCUCUGGUGACAAACUUUGCUACCCUGUUUCCAAUUGUUCACAUGGCUGGGAGAACCUAUUCAAUUAAUGUGUAGGGCACUGCAAGGUUGGGUGACCAGGGCCACUAGGGACUGCCUCCUGGAGGAAUUCAGGUGUGUGAAGGCUACCUGUGUCCUGCAUAACUUCAUGAGGAUGGACACACGGACCAGAGGAGAAGUCUGCUGCUCUGCAGGAUGUUUCAAGGAUGGGGUCCAACAACGCAGCAAGAGAGGCAAUCUGUGUGCCGGAGAUCUUCACCUCCUACUUCUACUAAGAGGGUGCUGUUCCCUGACAAUGCCAUAGACUACACUAUGCACAACCAAAGGCUCUUUUAAGAGCCAUUCACAUUGCAAUAAGAGUAUUCUUCCAUUUACUUAGCUAUGUCAACUGCAGUUAUUCAAUUCCCACUUUCUCUCCCUUUGAUUUCUACUUCAGGUGAGGGUGCUUUUUAGUAAGCAGGCUCAGGUGUAUAACUGGCUCCUUCCACCUUCAAAAAAUAGGCAAGGCCAACAAUGGAGAACAGUAAGACACUUCAUUAUUUCUAUAACUACGCUAUAUUGUUUGUCCUCGUGUGUCCGUUCAUGUUUUUCAGCAUAAAAUACUCUGUAGCCACUUAGUAUGAACACCAGGUGAGGCCACACGCACAAAUUCCUGUUGAACACUUGUCUCUUUAACUAUCUUAUUUUCUCAAUAAGUCUUUCUUCUUCACUUCAUCCCUCUUCUUCCUAAAUCCUCUAGGUUAUAUCAGCUGUGUAGGUGAACCCCUCCCGCAUCAGACCUGGCUACAUAGAGGGCACAGCAUGAUAUAUUUUGACAUGAGAGGAUGCAGACCCCCAGUUCCAUCAUCGCCACCUUACCCGCUCUUAAGAUAACCUUCUAGCCAACUACAAACACUACGUAAUUUUGAUGAACUGAGAGAACAUUUG
Molecule: long non-coding RNA, 1243 nt
Filed under: Salmo salar (Atlantic salmon)
Lineage: Eukaryota; Metazoa; Chordata; Actinopteri; Salmoniformes; Salmonidae
Description: lncRNA (ENSSSAG00000121659.1)
Rfam family: Histone 3' UTR stem-loop (bases 637-682)
Source: RNAcentral